AGGAGCAACAGCCCUAGUGGCGGGGCCAGCUCUGCAGCCCUGGAGUCAGCCCCCGCAGUAGCUCCGGAGCUCUCCGUCUGCAGGGCCUGGAGGCUCCGGGGCGGG
Molecule: microRNA precursor, 105 nt
Filed under: Canis lupus familiaris (dog)
Lineage: Eukaryota; Metazoa; Chordata; Mammalia; Carnivora; Canidae
Also listed under: 1 other name
Description: mir-8834 microRNA precursor family
Rfam family: mir-8834 microRNA precursor family
Source: Rfam by way of RNAcentral